This 445-nucleotide ribosomal RNA is filed under the name uncultured bacterium. Its description in RNAcentral is "SSU rRNA". It matches the Rfam family "Bacterial small subunit ribosomal RNA", at positions 26 to 518 of the family's 1533-position model. The record is from RNAcentral.
AGAACGAACGCUGGCGGCAGGCCUCAAACAUGCAAGUCUAGGGGGUGUAGCAAUACAUCACCGGCGGACGGGUGCGUAACGCGUGGGAAUGUACCUAUUGGUUCGGAACAACCCAGGGAAACUUGGGCUAAUACCGAAUGUGCCCGAAAGGGGAAAGAUUUAUCGCCAAUGGAUCAGCCCGCGUAGGAUUAGCUAGUUGGUGGGGUAAUGGCCCACCAAGGCUCCGAUCCUUAGCUGUUCUGAGAGGAAGAUCAGCCACACUGGGACUGAGACACGGCCCAGACUCCUACGGGAGGCAGCAGUUGGGAAUCUUGGACAAUGGGGGAAACCCUGAUCCAGCCAUGCCGCGUGAGUGAUGAAGGCCUUCGGGUUGUAAACUCUUUCGCGCACGACGAUAAUGACGGUAGUGCGAGAAGAAGCUCGGCUACUUCGCGCCAGCAGCCGC